Molecule: ribosomal RNA, 468 nt
Filed under: uncultured bacterium
Lineage: Bacteria
Description: partial 16S ribosomal RNA
Rfam family: Bacterial small subunit ribosomal RNA
Source: RNAcentral
GAUGAACGCUGGCGGCGUGCUUAACACAUGCAAGUCGAACGGUGAAGGCGGAGCUUGCUCUGCUGGAUCAGUGGCGAACGGGUGAGUAACACGUAAGCAAUCUGCCCCUGACUCUGGGAUAAGCGCUGGAAACGGCGUCUAAUACUGGAUACGAGCUGCGAAGGCAUCUUCAGCAGCUGGAAAGGAUUUCGGUCAGGGAUGAGCUCGCGGCCUAUCAGCUUGUUGGUGAGGUAAUGGCUCACCAAGGCGUCGACGGGUAGCCGGCCUGAGAGGGUGACCGGCCACACUGGGACUGAGACACGGCCCAGACUCCUACGGGAGGCAGCAGUGGGGAAUAUUGCACAAUGGGCGAAAGCCUGAUGCAGCAACGCCGCGUGAGGGACGACGGCCUUCGGGUUGUAAACCUCUUUUAGCAGGGAAGAAGCGAAAGUGACGGUACCUGCAGAAAAAGCGCCGGCUAACUACGUG